CCCACAUUUGCUCAUUGACUUUUUUUUGGUUUCAGAAAGCAGAUUCGUGAAGACAGGCAGGCCCCCGUGAUCCCCUCCAUCAAGCCCCUCUCCACGUUGGCUAACAAAAACCCCCAAACUCCUGUCAAUGGUUUCCAGCUGGCUGUCGCUCAAAGGUUCUCCUGGGAGAGGAGGAGCCUGAAAACUGGACUCAGGCUCUCGCUCAUUACCUCCCAACACCACAAAAACCUCUUUUGCCUUUAUCCAACCUCCAGCCCCUCUACAUUUGAUUUGUUUGAGGAAAAUCAUAGAAGCAUUUGUGUAUAUUCUGUUGAAAGUAGCUGAGGAGGAGUAUGAAAAAGGUGUGCCGUAUGACUGAGGGGAGUUCAGGGCGGCACUUUGGUCUGGCGGUGAGGACUAAAUAUAGCCGAGAGUGUUUCAAUAGGAGGGACUGCUUGCGUCACACAGGGUGGGCGAAGGAAAGGGUGAAGAAAAGAAAUAGCAACAAAUCCAAUGUUUAAAGAGGAGUGGACCCACUCAGAAACACAUAAAGUGAGCAUACAUCAGCAGGAGAACAAACACUGGAGAUGGAGUGUUUAUCUUCCAGGAGUGACGGUGAUGACAGUCGGUUGUCGUCAGUGUCAGAGGUCGAAGGAGGAUGGGGAGGGAGUCUACAGGCUGCUGAUGGAAGGACCUGGUGUUCUGUCACUCACCAUGUCUGGUUAGAGGACCAAGGGUGCUGGGCUUGAUUUUCAUAGUGUGUGUGUGUGUGUGAAUGCAUAUCCAUGCGCAUGUUAAUGUUUCUUUGCACAUUGGUGGGGAGUGUGACUCUGAGUGUAUUUUGACAUUGUGAACACAAAUAUCUCUGUGGCAUCAGCAUGUGGACCUCCUCGUUCGGUCUGAAAUGAAAGAAGAGCCUUUCAUUUCGCAGAGUUAAUAAAUGACUGCCGUACAUCCUUCAGGUCAGUAUUCACAAUGUUUAGAAUGUAUGCAAUAAAACAAGCAGUUGGUGUACAUCAAGGUACUACAUUUGGUCCCCUGUUCUUUAGUUAGUAUAUUGAAAACUUUCCCGAAGUCUGUCCACCUAAUGUCACCUGUGCAAUCUAAUCACUGACGCUGAUGUCAUCUCAGUGUUGUUAAACUGUGUGUAUCUUCUUUUUGAGUUCUGUAAAUAGAGAGAUCCAGCUAUUACAGAAACAGGGAAAAUAUCAACACGAGGUGAUAACUAUUUAGGUGUGCUAUUCGGUUCACAGCUUUCUUUUGAAUAUAAAAAAAGUUGAAGAAAACAAUAUUUGGAUGAUUUCUAGAAACUUUCUUUUACCAACACUUGGCAGAUGUACAUGAAUGCUAUAAUUCUGAUUUACUAAAUGACCCACUAGACACAAACCAGUUGGACAA
Molecule: long non-coding RNA, 1377 nt
Organism: Fundulus heteroclitus (mummichog)
Lineage: Eukaryota; Metazoa; Chordata; Actinopteri; Cyprinodontiformes; Fundulidae
Exons: 3
Source: RefSeq, a predicted model, not a curated record